UCGGUUGAUCCUGCCGGAUCCGACUGCUAUCCGGGUAAGACUAAGCCAUGCAAGUUGAAUGGAAUGGCUACAUUCCAUAGCAUACUGCUCAGUAACAAGUGAUCAACUUACCCUUUAGUGGAGCAUAACCUCGGGAAACUGAGGCUAAUUCUCCAUAGUUGGACCAGCCUGGAAUGGUUGUCCAUCGAAAGAUAUUCUGAAAUGUCAGAUGUUUGCUAAAGGAUAGGAUCGCUCUCGAUUAUGGUUGUUGGUGAGGUAAUGGCUCACCAAGCCUAUGAUCGAUAAGGGCCGUGAGAGCGGGAGCCCUGAGAUGGACACUGAGACAAUGGUCCAGGCCUUACGAGGCGCAGCAGGCGCGAAACCUUUACCAUGCACGAAAGUGUGAUAAGGUUACCCGGAGUGCCCAGAGAAAAACUUUGGGCUGUUAUAGGUGUGUAGAUAACCCUAUGAGAAAGGAGAGGGCAAGGCUGGUGCCAGCCGCCGCGGUAAAACCAGCUCUUCAAGUGGUCGGGAUUUUUAUUGGGCUUAAAGUGUCCGUAGCCUGUUUGGUAAGUUCCUGGUUAAAUCUGGCAGCUUAACUGUCAGUUGGCUAGGAAUACUGCCUUACUAGAGGGUGGGAAAGGUUUGGGGUACUCCAGGGGUAGCGGUGAAAUGCGAUAAUCCUUGGGGGACCACCAGUGGCGAAGGCGCCAGACUGGAACACGCCUGACGGUGAGGGACGAAAGCCAGGGGAGCGAACGGGAUUAGAUACCCCGGUAGUCCUGGCUGUAAACGAUGCGUGCUAGGUGUUGGUAGGGCUAUGAGCUGUAUCAGUGCCGUAGGGAAACUGNUAAGCGCGCCGCCNGNNAGUACGUUCGCAANAAUGAAACUUAAAGGAAUUNG
This 882-nucleotide ribosomal RNA is filed under the name uncultured archaeon. RNAcentral's name for it is "bacterial SSU rRNA". It matches the Rfam family "Archaeal small subunit ribosomal RNA", at positions 4 to 868 of the family's 1478-position model. The record is from RNAcentral.